UUCUUAUCCAGAGAGGUGGAGGGACUGGCCCUUUGAAACCUCGGCAACAGGCUUACUCUUAAGCACUGUGCCAAUUCCUGUAGCAUGUAUGCUGCAAAGAUAAGAA
This 106-nucleotide non-coding RNA is filed under the name Geomicrobium sp. JCM 19039. Its description in RNAcentral is "SAM riboswitch aptamer (S box leader)". It matches the Rfam family "SAM riboswitch aptamer (S box leader)". From Rfam's summary of the family: The SAM riboswitch is found upstream of a number of genes which code for proteins involved in methionine or cysteine biosynthesis in Gram-positive bacteria. Lineage: Bacteria; Bacillati; Bacillota; Bacilli; Caryophanales. The record is from Rfam by way of RNAcentral. RNAcentral also lists the same sequence under 1 other name.